Molecule: transfer RNA, 76 nt
Filed under: Actinomycetospora sp. NBRC 106375
Lineage: Bacteria; Bacillati; Actinomycetota; Actinomycetes; Pseudonocardiales; Pseudonocardiaceae
Description: tRNA-Thr
Rfam family: tRNA
About the family: Transfer RNA (tRNA) molecules are approximately 80 nucleotides in length. Their secondary structure includes four short double-helical elements and three loops (D, anti-codon, and T loops).
Source: RNAcentral
GCCGCCUUAGCUCAGUCGGCCAGAGCAACGCACUCGUAAUGCGUAGGUCGUCGGUUCGAUUCCGACAGGCGGCUCC